Lolium rigidum is the source of this 3164-nucleotide long non-coding RNA. RefSeq lists it as uncharacterized. The transcript is spliced from 15 exons. The record is from RefSeq and is a predicted model, not a curated record. NCBI's taxonomy places the organism in Eukaryota, Viridiplantae, Streptophyta, Magnoliopsida, Poales, Poaceae.
GCGUCAGUGGGGUCCCGCUCCGGCCCGUCCGCAUUCUUCUCGCCGUGGCGAGCUGCUCCUCCCUAAGUACGAGCGCUGAGAUGACCUCCCCUUCAACCACGAGCCUGGCCUGUGCGGAGCGUCCUGGAGUGCGCCGAGUGCGGAGCCUGGCCAUGGCUUUGUGCGCAGCCCCGAGUGCGGUGCUCCUUCCCGACCAUGAGCAGCUAACCGCCUUCUCCGCCCUCCUCCCAUCCACGAGUGGCCGUCAAUCUGGAGCUACACACUGGUUUGUCGUUUCUCUGUUGGUUUGCUUCCGUUGUGUUUUGGUUCUGCGUGCUGGCGUUUCAUAGGUGUGCAGCCAAAGCUGCAAUCAUGACUGGAAUUAUUUUGCUUGGGAAUUAGCAGAAGGGGACAACACGGGGCAAGGGGUCUGGUGUCAGCAUUCAUGUCCUGUUCUACCCCAACCCGGAGCAUGGCGACGACGGUCUAUUCUGUGGCGCUUUCUACCCCCCAUCAGCCUUACUUCCAGGAGUAGCAGCUUGAGAGCAGGGCCAGAGUGCGUCACCGCCUUGACCAGAUUUCGUCAACCUCCCUGUCAGCUUCCUACUGGAGAUGCUUCACCAACUUAGAAUCUUGCUAUUAUUUCUUGUAUGGGUUCUUACGGUCGGGUGCCGAGCAACACACCCGAGCUGAAGAAAGACCUUGAGAUUUUGCAGUCAGGCCUAAUAUUGGAUGAAUUCGAUGAUGCAGUGUGGAGGAUGACCGACGAGCGCGACGGAGGCGGACGAGACAAUGGCGGUGGCGGGUGAGAGGAGGCACCCGUUGAAGGGUGGCGAUAGCCAGUCUUUGCACAAGAUAGAGUUUGGAUGUCCAGGAGAUUCACCGAGAGCGACAACAACCACCAUUGGCCUUCGUGGACUCCGUCGCUGCCCCAGCUAUGGAAUCCUUCAAAUAAAUAACCACAGUAUAUGGUUCUCAUCCUCCCUCAACUCAGGUUACAGUUGCUGUAUUGUAGUUACCUUCUUGGGCAGCUCUACCUCUGUCGUGAACUGUGAUGGUUUUCCCUUGCUCCAUUUGAGUGGUGGUAUGCUUAUCAUUUCUCCUUAUCAUUUGAGGUUUCAGCAACGACGAGCAUGGCCAAGCUAGACACCAAGUGCGGUCUUUUGGGAGACGCAAGCUGUAAUCUUUCGACACUAUCAGAUAUAAGAGUACCUGAUAAGGUGAUGGGUUUCUUCUCUUUUCUCUUAAAAUUUGGGUGGUACAUUUUUUUGUGGUAAAUCUCCGUGAAUAUAUAACUGAAUAAUUGAAGAAGCAUUCAGAAGUUGUGAAAUACAAUAUGAGUUAUUUUGGGGUAAAUCUGCAUGCUAGAAAGUCCAUGCCAUAUAUUACUCCGUCCAUUUCAUUCAGCAAGUUCUUGCAUCUCUUGCUUGCCAUGGUACACAAGAUGCCAUUUGUUUUGAGUUAAUAUGUCUUAAAUUAGAGUGGCUGGGAGCUUAGGAGAUGCUAAAAUCGAGCUUAUUUGCCAAAAAAAGGAUUACUUUUCUUAUCUGCCUAAGAAAGAGUUUCAUAUAACUAACCUCUCUUGACACAACAUUGACACGACUAACCUUAGUGUGUACUGAAGCAGGAAAGCAUUUGCCCCUCUUUUACUUUAGAACGAUAUUCAGUGCUAAUUUCGAGUGGAAGAAGUGGGAAAAUUUCAGGUGCUUACUAUCAAGGAUUGUAAAUAUCGAGGAGGACAGAUAUGUUGAUCUGCUCUGAUGGUGGAGGCCGGCGCUGGCUUGGGGUUUCACGAUCAUGAUGGUCAUCCUUUCUGCCUUUUAGCAGCACUGCAUGGCGUCGACAGUGUGCUGGAGAAGCUUCAGCAGCAACCCUGAAGUAGCCUGUGUGUAAUUUCUCAUGUUCUCUGCAUGUUUUGUGUCAGAUUUCAUUUCCUUUUUGUUUUCAAGGUCAUUCACAUCCCUAUUAAUUAGUUACUGAUGAAGAUAUAUUUUAUUAUGUCUCUUUAUGAUUUCUUCGCAAACUGCUUAGUUUUACACAUCCAGUUGUACUAUUUUGUUAUGUCCUCUUCAGGUUCAUGUGCAUGUACUCUUCAGUUUUACACAUUGACCGUUUUCUGCAGGUUCAUAUGCACAAUCGAUGGUGCGCUCACGGCAUGGCAACCAUGGUCUACGGGUUGGAGCAGUGGUACCAGCCACAUGGCGUCCAAGGCGCUGCUCGUGGUGGUGGAACCUCAGGUGGUGAUCAUAAGAGAGUAGAAGGAGAGUAUGGUGCCAAACAUGGAGGAGCCCCUUGUUGGGGGCAACGUUGAGAAUAUAUAGGGACAGGAGAUAGGUUGGUACUGAUUGAGGUCAAGAAGAAGUUGUACUCGUGUCCGGGCAUCUCGCUGUUGGAUUUCAUGAAUUAUUAUAGAUGUAUGAGUAGAAGAAAUUCAAAAGGGAAGCAUAGUUGAAGAAUGCUGAUGAUAAUGAGCGCUCAUUGUGGUCGAUGUGAACACCGAAAAGAUGGGAUGCAUUCAGGUAAAAGUAUGGGUACCUUUCGGUAUGCUGUGAUCGGUGUUCAGUCCUAGCUGUUUUUUUUUUGCUUGGCUCGUGUAGGAAAUGGGGUUGAAGAUAUUCCGUCUGCUGUCACAUUCAAUGUCAUCGCAAAUUAUACAUCACCAAGCAUAAUCUCGAAUGGUGCAAGUGGAGCUGCGGUGAGAUGGCUGAUCCAAAAAUGGAGGGGUUGUGCCCUGCAAAAUUUCAAUAUUGUUUCACUGACGUGAUCGCCUUGUGUCUAGGUGCUUCGGUAAGGUUGCUGGCUGCUGAUCUCGAAGUGUUUUUGUUCUGGGUACUUGUAUGAUUGAGGAAGAGUGUGUUAUUCCUAAAUGUGCUAUUGCAGAUCCAAGGCAUGGGGUUUGCAUUUGCUGCUGGAACCACAGAUGACCCUGGAGCUUUUGAUUUCAAACAACCAGGUGACAAGAUUUACUUGGACUUUUCUGUAUGUUUGACAUGGAUGCUUACCAUCCAGGAACAUCAGUAGAUAUUAAGGGGUACAGAAGCAUUGUAUGCGCUGACCAAAAAAAGAAGGUGUUCCUUCCGUUAUUAUCGUGUAUGUAGCACCAACGUUCUAUGAAACCACGAUAGUAUCACUUAAGUUAUGUAAUAUAUUUGUGAAAAUAUUCAUAUGAUGGUUACAGUAUUGUC